Molecule: ribosomal RNA, 254 nt
Filed under: uncultured bacterium
Lineage: Bacteria
Description: partial 16S ribosomal RNA
Rfam family: Bacterial small subunit ribosomal RNA
Source: RNAcentral
UACAGAGGUCUCAAGCGUUGUUCGGAUUCAUUGGGCGUAAAGGGUGCGUAGGCGGCGCGGUAAGUCGGGUGUGAAAUCUCGGGGCUUAACUCCGAAACUGCAUUCGAUACUGCCGUGCUUGAGGACUGGAGAGGAGACUGGAAUUUACGGUGUAGCGGUGAAAUGCGUAGAUAUCGUAAGGAAGACCAGUGGCGAAGGCGGGUCUCUGGACAGUUCCUGACGCUGAGGCACGGAAGGUCAGGGGAGCAAACGGG